AUUGAACGCUGGCGGCAGGCUUAACACAUGCAAGUCGAGCGGGGGAAGGUAGCUUGCUACUGGACCUAGCGGCGGACGGGUGAGUAAUGCUUAGGAAUCUGCCUAUUAGUGGGGGACAACAUCUCGAAAGGGAUGCUAAUACCGCAUACGUCCUACGGGAGAAAGCAGGGGAUCUUCGGACCGUGCGCUAAUAGAUGAGCCUAAGUCGGAUUAGCUAGUUGGUGGGGUAAAGGCCUACCAAGGCGACGAUCUGUAGCGGGUCUGAGGGGAUGAUCCGCCACACUGGGACUGAGACACGGCCCAGACUCCUACGGGAGGCAGCAGUGGGGAAUAUUGGACAAUGGGGGGAAACCUGAUCCAGCCAUGCCGCGUGUGUGAAGAAGGCCUUAUGGUUGUAAAGCACUUUAAGCGAGGAGGAGGCUACUCUAGUUAAUACCUAGGGAUAGUGGACGUUACUCGCAGAAUAAGCACCGGCUAACUCUGUGCCAGCCGCCGCAGUAA
RNAcentral lists this ribosomal RNA (501 nucleotides) under uncultured bacterium. RNAcentral describes it as "partial 16S ribosomal RNA". It matches the Rfam family "Bacterial small subunit ribosomal RNA", at positions 30 to 523 of the family's 1533-position model. The record is from RNAcentral.